GCAUGUCUAAGUAUAAGCAAUCUAUACGGUGAAACUGCGAAUGGCUCAUUAAAUCAGUUAUCGUUUAUUUGAUAGUACCUUGCUACAUGGAUACCUGUGGUAAUUCUAGAGCUAAUACAUGCUAAAAACCUCGACUUCGGAAGGGGUGUAUUUAUUAGAUAAAAAACCAAUGCCCUUCGGGGCUCCUUGGUGAUUCAUAAUAACUUAACGAAUCGCAUGGCCUUGCGCCGGCGAUGGUUCAUUCAAAUUUCUGCCCUAUCAACUUUCGAUGGUAGGAUAGUGGCCUACCAUGGUGGCAACGGGUAACGGGGAAUUAGGGUUCGAUUCCGGAGAGGGAGCCUGAGAAACGGCUACCACAUCCAAGGAAGGCAGCAGGCGCGCAAAUUACCCAAUCCCGACACGGGGAGGUAGUGACAAUAAAUACUGAUACAGGGCUCUUUUGGGUCUUGUAAUCGGAAUGAGUACAAUCUAAAUCCCUUAACGAGGAACAAUUGGAGGGCAAGUCUGGUGCCAGCAGCCGCGGUAAUUCCAGCUCCAAUAGCGUAUAUUAAAGUUGUUGCAGUUAAAAAGCUCGUAGUUGAACCUUGGGUCUGGCUGGCCGGUCCGCCUCACCGCGAGUACUGGUCCGGCUGGACCUUUCCUUCUGGGGAACCCCAUGGCCUUCACUGGCCGUGGCGGGGAACCAGGACUUUUACUGUGAAAAAAUUAGAGUGUUCAAAGCAGGCCUUUGCUCGAAUACAUUAGCAUGGAAUAAUAGAAUAGGACGUGCGGUUCUAUUUUGUUGGUUUCUAGGACCGCCGUAAUGAUUAAUAGGGAUAGUCGGGGGCGUCAGUAUUCAGCUGUCAGAGGUGAAAUUCUUGGAUUUGCUGAAGACUAACUACUGCGAAAGCAUUCGCCAAGGAUGUUUUCAUUAAUCAGGGAACGAAAGUUAGGGGAUCGAAGACGAUCAGAUACCGUCGUAGUCUUAACCAUAAACUAUGCCGACUAGGGAUCGGACGGUGUUCUAUGAUGACCCGUUCGGCACCUUACGAGAAAUCAAAGU
This 1042-nucleotide ribosomal RNA is filed under the name Paecilomyces niveus. Its description in RNAcentral is "SSU rRNA". It matches the Rfam family "Eukaryotic small subunit ribosomal RNA", at positions 53 to 1104 of the family's 1831-position model. The record is from RNAcentral. Lineage: Eukaryota; Fungi; Ascomycota; Eurotiomycetes; Eurotiales; Thermoascaceae.